GACGAACGCUGGCGGCGUGCUUAACACAUGCAAGUCGAACGGAAAGGCCCUGCUUGCAGGGUGCUCGAGUGGCGAACGGGUGAGUAACACGUGGGUGAUCUGCCCCUUACUUUGGGAUAAGCCUGGGAAACUGGGUCUAAUACUGGAUAGGACCAUGCUGUAGGUGGUGUGGUGGAAAGUUUAGUUUCGGUAAGGGAUGAGCUCGCGGCCUAUCAGCUUGUUGGUGGGGUAAUGGCCUACCAAGGCGUCGACGGGUAGCCGGCCUGAGAGGGUGGACGGCCACAUUGGGACUGAGAUACGGCCCAGACUCCUACGGGAGGCAGCAGUGGGGAAUAUUGCACAAUGGGCGCAAGCCUGAUGCAGCGACGCCGCGUGGGGGAUGACGGCCUUCGGGUUGUAAACUCCUUUCAGCCAUGACGAAGCCCUUGUGGUGACGGUAGUGGUAGAAGAAGCACCGGCUAACUACGUG
RNAcentral lists this ribosomal RNA (469 nucleotides) under uncultured bacterium. RNAcentral describes it as "partial 16S ribosomal RNA". It matches the Rfam family "Bacterial small subunit ribosomal RNA", at positions 28 to 507 of the family's 1533-position model. The record is from RNAcentral.